CAGGGGUGGCCAGGCAGAGGACCACUGAAUGUUCUCACCAUUCAAGUCUGACGUCCACCCUUAAAGAAUCUAUAACAUGACCUCAUCGUCUCACAGGACGUCAUAAAUGAAUCAGCUAAUUGUGGCGGGGGAAAACCCAUUAAUCAUCAACCUCAUGGUGGGUCUAGAUUUUCCUUCUAAUUCCACAAGAUGCAGGGUGUCCGCUUAAACACCGAAUUGCCUGCCGCACAACAGAAAACCAAACAAGACACAAAUUUUCAUCAGACUGAUGCUUAAAAUAUCACAUUGAAGAUUUGCCCCCACAUCUGAAUCCCCGUUUGGUUAUUAGUGUGAACAACUAAAACAAUGCAUGAAUGAACAAUUCCCCAAAUACCUACCUGGACUACUGAAUUGGAUCCCAAAAUACAGUGUAUCUCUAAAAAACAUUACCGCUAUUUUUUAACAUAUAAAGAAGGGAUCCCACACACGUCUGCAGAUAACAACUACUUAUUGACAAAACAGGAGAUGUUUCAAUCUGAUGAGGAUCUUCCUCAAGUCAAAAUAUCGUCAGUGCAGUAUCCUGUAUUGGUCCUAUAUCAAUAUGGGUUGUCCCAUCAGGUGGCUUCUUCAACAAACCUCUCCUUUGAGACUUAUACCAAAGAGAAGGAAAUCUUUAUUUUGAAUGCUCAAAUGUGACAAUAGUCACCUGCAACAGGCAUCCUUUCUGUCGCUCGCUCAGCUAAAUCAGUGUUAGCAUGCAGAACUAAGCACAAAUGAAAACAAAGCCAAACAGCUGAUUUGAUUAUACUUUGGUUAAAAACAAUGUUUCAAAAAUACUUCUACUGAAAUGUGUCCUAAAACGAGCAAGAAAAGUGUAACCAAACUGAGCUUGCAGUUUAGACGCUGGCAUAAAGACUGUAACACUUUGAGGAGUUCGGUUUAAGGCAUACCGACCUCCCCAAGAUGACGGGUAAAGUGCGACUUGAGAGAUGAAAUACUGAAACAGUGGGUGAAGAAAGCAAAGGUGUGUGUGUGUGUGUGUGUGUGUGUGUGUGUGUGUGUGUGUGUGUGUGUGUGUGUGUGUGUGUGUGUGUGUGUGUGUGUGUGUGUGUGUGUGUGUGUGUGUGUGUGUGUGUGUGUGUGUGUGACAACCGAGCUAUGGGAGCGUUCCGCUGCAGAAUGGAGUUGUGCAAAGUUGCCAUGGAAAAACUGAUCGUCGCACAAACUGUUUCUUAAUCGAGUGGAGGUCUUAGUAAGUGGGAGGGAUUCUGAGUUUUUAGCACAAGAAGCGUCUCUGCGUUUGCAUGGAUUUAGUGGGAUUAUGUGGACAUUCAUGGCAACCAGUGAGGCCAGCAGGUGAGGUCUGGGCUCAGCUGCCUUAGCCUUUAGGUAAACACAGAGAAGGGUUGCCAGAUCCUGGCUGCGUUGCCUAGCUGAUAUUGUAUCUGUCCAAACUACUUACGUCAGUCAGGCUGAUCUGCCUACUCCUGCAGAGUGGCGCUGACAGGGGGCUGCUUGUUGCCGCAUGGGAGACACUGAGGACAGGCUUUCAUCGUCUAAGUGCCGCAGUGAGGCCGGACCAAAAACGGUCUGGUGACAUUACUUGACUGGCUAUCAAUAGUAUCUUAGCAGGGGCUAAAACCAAAAGCAAACAUGCAGUGAGCCUGAGUGUGAAUGUUUGAGGCAAGGCUCUGUCACUUUAGGAGCAUCGUGUGUUGACGCAGAGCAGAAAUAACAACAGGCCUGGUAAAGUGAUCAAGUUGUGAGCUUUUGUCUCUUUUCAGAAAGUCCUGAUCUGAUUUUCACUGAGCUUAUACUUUUAAUUAGAUUUGCAUUUUUAACAUGCCUGUUUUACAUGUGUUUUUGGACUUAAACAGUAAAACAGGCUUAUCUAAAUGAAUAGUUCAGUGUUUUCUGCCUGACACCACAUCAGAUUAAGACAAGGGAAUUGCCACGUUACAUAUUUAGUGCUGUCAGGAAUUCUUGCACAUUUGCCUCACAAAAACUGUUUUUCUUUCACAUGACCUUUUGUUGAAAACGUUGAAUGUAAGAUAAGAAGAGAUUUCAGAAGAUGUUGAACUGAAUUAUAAACAGCUCUGAGAAGUUUGGGAAAAUGAACAUGUAGCAUGUCUUCCAGAACACCUUGUCCUGAUUUACUGAUGUAAAGCUGUAACACACAUGGAGGAGUGAAAGUGAAUAAAUAGCUGAAUGAAUAUAGAAACUAUAAUGUUUCUCUGUCUUUCAGUGUCUCCAUUCCUAAUGAGGUUCUACUAACACUGGUCAUGGAUUUGGGCUUUCCUGGUGUUCGUUUGAUUGUUUGUUCAUCUGUACAGAGUUUAAAACUAAACUUUAAAACAUUUAAAGUGAAAUCCAUCUCUGUGGCACCCUAUCAUCAUGUCAUCAUUGUGUUCCUUCUCUGCUGCAGUCUCUCUGUUUGUUCACCUGCCGGUCAGUCGUGCCCAGCCUGAAAGGCCACAGCUUCGCCCCUCUGACCUCCUGACCCCGUGCAGCCUCCACACGCCUCCUCUCUGGACCAGCAAAUAUUGAACCAGUCAGUCAGGGUUUCUCUGCUGUUUAACUGUUGCUGGAGAACAGCUUUACCACCACUAGACAACAGCAACAGCACGCCAGGGCAGACCCCUGUGUGUGUUUGUGUGUGUGUGUGUGUGUGUGUGUGUGUGUGUGUGUGUGCGCAUGUGCGUGUGCGUGUGUGUGCACACACAUGGUUUGAGCAAGUGUCUGGGUGUUUAAGUGAUACACAACAAUUGGCUACACCAACUGGAAUUUUUUUUGAUUGCUAAACGACAGUGGGCACAACUGAAGCUACACGUACAAAACUCUAACUACAGCCUGUACAGUCACCGGAGCUAAACAGUUCACAUUUCCUGCAAACUCACUCCAAGCAACACAACUCGUACCACACGUCUCAAAACAGGAUCAGUGCAGCAAACACUACGAGCAGUCCUAACUGAGACAACACACACUGUCACUCAGAACACACUGAGAGUAAAAUCACUAGCACCAAAAACCAAUAGAUAAAAUUCUAACUUUCUUAUCUUUACAGUUUGUACAGUUUGAGUGACUUCACAUUACUCAUUUGUUUCUUUAAAGAAAAGAUAUAAAUUUUAUGUAAUAUAACGAUUUUUACGUAAGAUAAUGAAGAAGGAACAAAAAGCAGCAGUUUGCUUCAAUACAGUAUUUUGUCUCUAGUAAUUUAUGGAAUUACUGUAAAAAAAAAUAAAAAAAAUAAAAUAAAGGUACAUAACAGUAACAUAGAAUAGUGUGACUAAUCUUGCCUCUUUCCAGCACUAUGCUGCAAGUUUUCUUCAUCACAUUGGAUGUCUGCAUCAUCUCUAAAUGCUAAUGAAUGUGGUGAUUUCAACGCUUUCACCUUCAUUACUUUCUGAAAAACAGUAAGAACACAGUUUUACUAUAGUAAAGAUAUAGUGUUUUCACAUUUUGUUUUUUUGUAGCUGCGUAUGUAACCUCAGACAUCUCACCGGGUCAUAUUGGAAUAUUUGCUCUUUUACAUGUUUCUCUCAAAUGGUACAGUGUAGAAUUGUUUGCAAUUCUUAUUUGGUUUUUGUAUACAAAAAAAUCCUUUCUGAGCUCUCUCUGU
Molecule: long non-coding RNA, 3598 nt
Organism: Etheostoma spectabile (orangethroat darter)
Lineage: Eukaryota; Metazoa; Chordata; Actinopteri; Perciformes; Percidae
Exons: 3
Source: RefSeq, a predicted model, not a curated record